Small nucleolar RNA from Hippoglossus stenolepis (Pacific halibut), 68 nucleotides. Lineage: Eukaryota; Metazoa; Chordata; Actinopteri; Pleuronectiformes; Pleuronectidae. The record is from RefSeq and is a predicted model, not a curated record.
GUUCAGUGAUGUCUCUUAACAAAUGUCUGACCUGAACUUGUAAUGUGGACAACAUUGUUGCUGAGUAA